This is a long non-coding RNA of Engraulis encrasicolus (European anchovy), 257 nucleotides long. RefSeq lists it as uncharacterized. The transcript is spliced from 2 exons. The record is from RefSeq and is a predicted model, not a curated record. NCBI's taxonomy places the organism in Eukaryota, Metazoa, Chordata, Actinopteri, Clupeiformes, Engraulidae.
UACUUCAAGCACACUCGUUCUAGUUGUACGCUGCCCGCUCUGCUUGCAGUAUGGCUCAGAGACGCUGACGUUGUUUAAUUGAGUACCCUGACACACAAGGGUGGAGUUUGAGACGCACCACACAGUGCUUUCGCACGCAGGCAGCAACCAGGGUAACUUUCAAGGACUUCCUCUGGAUGGUGGCAGAUUGACAACCUCACAUCAGUGAACAUGAAUCUCAUAACUGAUUGGAAAAAUAAAUAAAGUUUUGCACACAA